CUGAAGGGCAGGCGAUAGUGAUACAGGCUUACAAAGGAAUGCAAGCCGUGAAUACGGGGUACACCACGGCAUCAUCAUCACGUGCACCAACAACAACAACGCUUAGAAAGGCUUCAACGAUAGCUGAAUUUAAACUGCUGGAAGGUUUUUCCCCCACAAGAUAUCCACAGAUUUUUUCUCCUUAUAUUACAGCGUAUGAGAGCAAAGGAGGGAAAAUGCAGGAAGGGAUUUCAUACAUUAUUCUGGCGAUAACCAGAUAUACCUGGUUUUACUGGACAAAUAGGCCUAGGAUAAAUAGGAUCCAGCAGAAAGUGAGGUACAGGAAAUCCACCAGGGACCCAAGCGGCAACCAGGAAACAUCGAUGCAUCAGCACAAGAAUUAACCUUAUGUCGACCAAGUCUUCCACCCCACAUCAGGGCUCAAAUUACGACUGACUGUUGCCCAAUGCAUGCCGAAUCACAAUUUUAAUAGGGCUACGCUAGAGUAUAAUACAGUAUAUACAUCGCCACCCAUGUGGCCUGGGGGUGUUUCAUAAAGCUGUUCGUAAGAUAAGAACGACUUUAAGAGCGACUGGUGAUUCUUUCUUUUGGUAAAUGGUGUACACCAUAGGCGACGGUUUAGCGCGUAAAAAAGGACCACCAGUCGUUCUUAAAGUCACUCUUAACUUACGAACAGCUUUAUGAAACGGCCCCAAAGGAGAAUGUUGCUUCAAAGGCGUCCUCGUGAGACUAUCCUACGGUGAGAUAGGUCUGACGUCCAUCGCGGUUCACCGGCCAAGUCUGUUUCCAACUUAAGAGAGCCUACAACACGCAGGAUCACCACAGGAAGGUAGAAGGCGUGGCAGUGUACUUCGGUCGACGAUACAGAUACGAUGGCCUUUACGACUGGAAAGUUCCCCCAAUGCAGAGCAAGAAUUAACCUGGCGUCGACCAAGACUUCAAGAUUUGCUGGUGGUCAACGAUCUGUGAGCACCUCAUGCAUCACGGGCCAAAAACUUGGAGUGGAACAGGCUUAUGUUCGAGUAGGUCAGCGAGGAAAAGAACAGGUUUUCAUUAGGAGAUGGUGGCGGGUCAGGUGGAUAGGAGAAUAUUGCUUGGAUUGGAAGGCAUCCGCAUGGGGUUAUCUUUCGGUGAGAUGAGGUCUGAUGCCACUAUGCUGAUCAUUCAAUUCGAUUUGCCGUUUGAAUGCGAGGACCCAGUUUUACUAUUAGAAGGAUCGAGGAGGAUGUGGAUAACGGACUCCGGUCGAUGGCCAUGCCGAUCCCCAUGGUUGGAAGGUUCACCCGAUGCAGUCUCGUCAUGGUGAGGGUUGAUCAAAGAUCCAGUUGGUCUUCUGUAUGUCUUCCGCUGGCCCGAGCCCAGGGACUUUACGUUAUGACCAGGGGCGGAUCCAGGAUUUUCCAAAAGGGGGGACAAAUUUUUCGGAGGAAAAUUUUGGCAAGCCCCCCCCCCCAAAAAAAAAAAAAUAAUAAAAUAGAAAAAUAAAAAUAGUUCGUAUACACAAAAAAAAAAUUGACAAGAAAGAAAAGAUGGUCUUAAAUUUCAGAAGAGGGGGCAAACCUCUGUUUUAAUGGCAUUUUUACAUUACAAAUUUUAAUUUUGCUUCUCACCCCUAUGCCCCCCUCGAUCCGCGCCUGGUUAUGACUAAUAUGACCCAUUCCCAUGAUCUGUUUUGGGUUUUCAUGGCGUUAUUCAGAUAAACAUUGGGACCUUUCGCAAUCCUAACGGACGCUAAUAUUAGGGUCCCCUAACACAAAAGUUAACGCUUAAUCAUACACUUGAUUUUUAAGAUUGAUUGUGCAUAAUAGUCAAUAGAAUCAAUCGUAGAAAACUGCUCUACAACCAAUGCUAAGCUUUGUGUUACAGGCCCAACAGAUCUGCUUUUCGUGUGCAAAAUCCUUUUCCGCGACACCCGCACCAUACAUGCAUGUAUAUUACGACUGAUCGAUGGCUGGAGAUAUUCGAAAUACAGACCUAAAAUAGAUUAUGACAUGGAUAAGAAAGUGGUUUUUCAAACAAAUCGAGUACAUAUUGAGUGAGGAAAAAACUUACUGAAUGAAGGUUUAGAUAUAGAUCAUUACAGUUCAUCGAAUCGAUAUGAUGUGGAUUAUUGGUGUAUCACUGGCAAUUAUUGAUUUCAUAGGUCAGAUCAACCUCUCCAGCCGAACAUUUCGCGUGAGUUGAUAUGUGCACACCAUAUGCAAUACGUUUGAACUCGUUUCUUUUUGUUUCUUUUGUUUCUUUUGUUUACUCUUUCUACACAAACGAUAUGCCUCUCGCACACGAUGUAAUGGGCAUUAUGUUUUACUUUCCCCAGAAAUGGGGGAUUAUAUUCAAAUUCCAGGGGGACCACUUCCAUUGAUGAGUGGAUACCAGGCACGACCAUUGGGUUUCGAAAAGUACCCUAAACAAGGGAAGUAAUUCUUUUCCAGAUUAUGAAAAUGCAUCUCUUAAAAAGAAUUUGGCUUGUGAAACCCUACCAGUACUGGAUAUAUAUCCCUUUUUUGUCAGCAUUUUAAAUAUCGUUUUGACACCCUUAUAACGUUACAUAGGCCUAUACGUAACGUACUUGCCCACUCUGUCCCCUUUUACGCGUGGUCGCUCCUGGUAUCCACUAAUCAAUGGAAGUGGGCCCCCGGGCGGCCUCUCGAGCUCUAGGAGGAGUCAAAUGUGGCUUUGGAAAGUCGUCCUCAAUCGGAUAUAUCGCUGUUACCAGGGGUUACCAUAGAAGCAACCAAAAUUUUGCACACGAAACGCAUAUUGAAUGUUUCUGUCGCAGAUGCGAAACGAAAAAAAAUCUCAUGUCACACAAUUUGCAUUGCAGGACAGAGUUUUACGACUAUGAUGAAGGGCCCAAAAAGUCUCUUCCAAAAUAAACUAACGUCGUAAAUAAGCGUGCGCGUCCUCAAACGAAAGGUCGGGAAUAACGUAAACUGGGCCCGUCUUACAAAGAGUUACGAUCAAUCGUAACUCUAUGGAAAUCCAUCAAUGUCGUAUUUUUUCGACAGGAAAUUUGCAAAAUGUCCUUUGUAAACAAGGAGAACACACCAAAUUGUCAAUAAAUCAAUGAAUUUAUGGAUAUACAUUCAUAUCUAGAUUUUUUUUUAACAGACAUGCCUUUCAUAAUGUUGACUUUGCUGGCUUUCCACAGUUUCGAUUGAUUGGAUCAAUCGCAACUCUUUGUAAGACGGGACCCUGGUGAAAAACUAUAGGUAACACAACCUUUGCCGACUACCUUGAGUAGGGAAUGUUUGUAUUUUACACAUUUACUGUAUGUGAAUUCUCAACUGGUUUCUGUUUAAUUUGCGGGGUGUUCCCAUGCAUGCUGUGACAUAAAGUCCCUGAAUUUCUCAAGGAAGAGGCUGUAUAAUGUCAUCAUGUCAAACAUAAUAAUAAUGAUUGUUUAAUGUUUCAUUAGGAUUUUAGCAGAUAUACCGCAUGCGGUUCAUGGCGAUGAAAAAAUGAAUUGAAUAACUGAUUGUUGAAGAAAUAUGCCUUUGGAGUCUUUUAAAAUGACAUCGUCUUCUAAAGCUCCAACGCUUUGCUUCGAUCCUUGCACUGUUCUCUCGAAAUCUCAUUAUUUCACACUCCUAUUUAUUCCUUAUAAAACUGCCUUUUCAUAGGCCUAUUCGGGGUUCAGUAUAGCAGCGUUUAUAAAUCCGAGGGCAGCAUGCAGUUUGAGUGGGCAGAAUUUUUAUUGAUGAAGAUGAAUAUGGGGCCUGAUAUUUAUAAUACAAAAGCUAAAUGCACUUGGCCAAAAAUUAAGCUUGGGGUUUGAAUACCAUGAAUUCCACAUCUUUUUUUUUGCUCAGAUGCCUCGCUCACUCAUCUAUUAAAUGUGUUUUUUUUUUAGAUUAUCCUUCAGAAUCUCAUAAUAUUUUUACAAAACUUGUUCGUUAAAAGGUUCAACAUUAAUUCGGUUACUUACGAAAGGAAUAUGCUUUGAAUAUUUGUCAUUUCUUAAACGAAACAGCAUAGCCGGUGGAAGUGGGGAGGGGGGCAGGAUCAUUUCAAAACAGGUAUAAAAGUGUGGGGAGAAACACGCAUAUUCAGUGGAAAGUUCUGAUCACAUACGUGAUCGUAGAACUUCCCCCUCCUCCAAAAAAUGUGAAAGCUCGCAUUUUUUCGUUCAAAAUUUAUCUGAAUUAAAAAUAAACGUUACGCGCCUUUUCAUUUUAUAUGUGGCCUUAGCGGCCGCCAAAAUCUUAAUGCGAAGGAACAAGCACCCGUUUUUUUGUAAAUAGUAUAUAAAUAUUUAAAAUGCAAAAGAAUAUUACAUUGUAAAGUUUGCAUGAAAGUGGCUCCAAUGGUGACAUGUGUCUAAUAAAUUCAUAGCCAUUGUGCUCUAUGCCCAUAAAACUAACAGAACAUACACUGAAAUUAAAUGGUAAAGAUGAUCAAAAUAAAAUAUUUUUCGUGUUUUCAUAAUUAAAAAAAAAACAAUGAUUUGAAAGUAGAAUCAUAAAAAAUGAGAAAUAAAAUUAUGUCCCUUCUUCUGUCGGCUAUGCUGCGUACUUAUGUUUCCUUUAUGGGUUGUUUUACAAUCAGGGAAUAUCAAUUAAAAAUGCUCUCUGUGCAUCAUAAAAAGUAAUGUUAUUGUAAUCUCAAAUCUACGAUGGCAAGUUAUAUGACACUUUGAUAGCAGACUGCGAAGAAGAAAAAUAUUGAACUAUACAUUCAUUAUUAAAAAUUGACCAUAAUUUACUGUCUUAUGUCUUUCAAUUUUUUUUAAUUUCGAGCCUGCGCAUGUAUUAUGCAGCCUUGUGCAUCGUCUCACCAAUUAUAAUUGAUUAUUGAAAUCGUUUAAAUUUCUAAAUUCUUAAAAGCUUCAGACAGUUUUUAUUUUAGGGAAAAAUUACUUGAUUGAUAAUGUCUUUGUCUAUACUUGUGUAGUAAUAUGCAAAACUCUUAUAGACGGUUCACUUUGCUCACUUCCGCUUAUUUUUUUUCAGACGUUUCUCGUUCCACUGUCCAAAAUUACCCCCUGCGAAAAUUGAACACAAACAAGAAAAGUUUGAAAAGAAACUCAAAGCUACAUUUUUGUCAAAUUAGACAGCUGAUCGAGUUUACCCUGAUUGUAUAACAGCCGAUAAUCAUAAUAAAAGCCGUCAGAACAAUACUUCGCUGUUGAAUGCUCCAUGUGAAAUGUCAAACGUCGUCUGUUGAUCAAAUGAUGGUUUAUAACAUAGUGGUGUGGAUCCUUGUUAAAUAUUGGCGGCGGAAGCCAACAAAUUUAGGGGGGUCCACCUGAAAUUUUGGGAUGAACAAAGGUAAAAAUUGGACAAGCAGAAAUUUUAGGGUGGGGGGUCCGCCCCCACCUCAAAUUGAGGGGGGACAGGACCCCCCCCCCCGCUUCCGCCUAUAUUGUAAAACUGUCCUAAUCUCAAAGGAAUGACCUGUCUGUAUAGAACUGGUCAUAAGAACAAGUCAUCAGCAAAUUUUCAUGUUUGCUAAAACAAAUGAUUGGUCACGUUAUCGAUUUCAUCCAAUCAUUUGUUUGUGAUCCAUAUCACCAUUUUAUAAACAUAAGUAAAUGAUUGUUACACCCUUCUUCUGGCUACUUGUAUUUAUUCUUGUAUCGGUAACUCCCUCGCCCCCCCCCCCCCGCCCCAUCCCUCCCUGCUCUCUAUCUCUCUCUCUCCCUUCAUAUUUUUUUGCAUUUCCAUCACUUAACUUUAUGAUUUCUCAUAUUCUUCUAUAUUGCUAAAUGUUUCUUUUGAAUCAUAUUCAUUCUAUCUGAUAUAUGAUUUCAAAUUCAUUCUUUAUCAUUUUAUUCUUUCAAGAAUGACAAAAUAGUCCUUAAUCCACUACCCCUUCACAUCCGGGUUAUCUCGAACGCUCUCUUUCAAUUCUCCUUUCCAUUCUUGUUCAUUGCGGAUUUUGCAAUUCAUCUUCAGCAACCUUUCACCUCCUCUCACCUUACCUCAAACUGUUCUUACCCGAUUGGUGUUGGUCUGUAACUCUGGCUCCAUCACAUCCACCUUUACCGAUGGCUCUUUUAUCCUUGUCAAACGAUCUCAUCAUCCCUUCCAUCUCAAAUGACAACCCUUUCUCUUUCCCUCCCUUUCAUUAACCUCCCUCCCAGCUCUCUCACAUACAAUCACAUCCAGCUUUACUAACGGUUUUUCAUCCUUGUCCAACGCUCUCACCAUCCCAUCUACCUUCUCAACAAGACAACCCCUUUCUUUUUCCCAACUCCUCAUUCUAUCACCCUUUAUUUCUGUUCCCCCUUCUCUCUCCCGCCUUACCCUUGGAUGUGGGGAAAAAGAGUGAACUUCAGUAAAUGCAAAUGCGAAUAAAGCUGAUCAAACAAUUCAGCAAAGAAAAAAAACCUUCCAAUUAUCUUCAGAAGCAAAAGUUUGUGACAGAAACACUCAAAAACUUUAUUCAAACUAGAUAUAUAUCCGUUAGUACUGCCAAUUUAAAGUAAAAGGCCUAUUUAUUCUUGUUCUGUAAAUUCUAUAUUUUAUCCAUGUACUGCGUCUCUUCAAAGUGA
Lytechinus pictus (painted urchin) is the source of this 6496-nucleotide long non-coding RNA. RefSeq lists it as uncharacterized. The transcript has 4 exons. The record is from RefSeq and is a predicted model, not a curated record. Lineage: Eukaryota; Metazoa; Echinodermata; Echinoidea; Temnopleuroida; Toxopneustidae.